This 468-nucleotide ribosomal RNA is filed under the name uncultured bacterium. Its description in RNAcentral is "partial 16S ribosomal RNA". It matches the Rfam family "Bacterial small subunit ribosomal RNA", at positions 28 to 507 of the family's 1533-position model. The record is from RNAcentral.
GAUGAACGCUGGCGGCGUGCUUAACACAUGCGAGUCGAACGGAAAGGCCCAAGCUUGCUUGGGUACUCGAGUGGCGAACGGGUGAGUAACGCGUGGGUGAUCUGCCCUGCACUUCGGGAUAAGCCUGGGAAACUGGGUCUAAUACCGGAUAGGACGAUGGUUUGGAUGCCAUUGUGGAAAGUUUUUUCGGUGUGGGAUGAGCUCGCGGCCUAUCAGCUUGUUGGUGGGGUAAUGGCCUACCAAGGCGUCGACGGGUAGCCGGCCUGAGAGGGUGUACGGCCACAUUGGGACUGAGAUACGGCCCAGACUCCUACGGGAGGCAGCAGUGGGGAAUAUUGCACAAUGGGCGCAAGCCUGAUGCAGCGACGCCGCGUGGGGGAUGACGGCCUUCGGGUUGUAAACUCCUUUCGCUAGGGACGAAGCGUUUUUGUGACGGUACCUGGAGAAGAAGCACCGGCUAACUACGUG